CUAGUACUCCCUCCGUCCAAAAAAGCUUGUCCCUCAAAUUGAUGUUUCUAGCACCAAGUUAGUGCUAGAUACAUCCAUUUGAGGGACAAGCCUUUACGGACGGAGGGAGUAUGGU
Molecule: non-coding RNA, 115 nt
Organism: Triticum urartu
Lineage: Eukaryota; Viridiplantae; Streptophyta; Magnoliopsida; Poales; Poaceae
Source: Rfam